UGAAUGACUCAUUCGCUUGUA
This 21-nucleotide small nuclear RNA is filed under the name Arabidopsis thaliana (thale cress). RNAcentral describes it as "snRNA_07435". Lineage: Eukaryota; Viridiplantae; Streptophyta; Magnoliopsida; Brassicales; Brassicaceae. The record is from RNAcentral.